Molecule: long non-coding RNA, 384 nt
Organism: Haliotis rubra (blacklip abalone)
Lineage: Eukaryota; Metazoa; Mollusca; Gastropoda; Lepetellida; Haliotidae
Exons: 2
Source: RefSeq, a predicted model, not a curated record
AGGUGAGAGAGAAUGGGUGAGAUAGGAGAGAACAGGUGAGAGAGAAUGGGUGAGAUAGGAGAGCAUUGGUGAGAGAGUAAAUUGAUGAGACAGGAAAGCAUAGGUGUGAAAGAGAAUGUAAGAGCAUAGGUGACAGAAUAAAUGAGAUAGGGGAGCAUAGGUGAGAAGAUAAAUGAGAUAGGAGAUCAUAGGUGAGAAGAUAAAUGAUAUGAGAGAGCAUAGGAGAAAGGAUAAAUGUAAUAGGAGAGCAUAGGUGAGAGGAUAAAUGAGAUAGGAAAGCAUAGGUGAGAGGAUAAAUGAUAUGAGAGAGCAUAGGUGAAAGGAUAAAUGUAAUAGGAGAGCAUAGGUGAGAGGAUAAAUGAGAUAGGAAAGCAUUGGUGAAAG